RNAcentral lists this ribosomal RNA (253 nucleotides) under uncultured bacterium. Its description in RNAcentral is "partial 16S ribosomal RNA". It matches the Rfam family "Bacterial small subunit ribosomal RNA", at positions 524 to 776 of the family's 1533-position model. The record is from RNAcentral.
UACGGAGAGUGCAAACGUUGUUCGGAUUCACUGGGCGUAAAGGGCACGUAGGCGGCUCGGCAAAUCGGUCGUGGAAUCUCGACGCUUACCGUCGAAACGGCGGCCGAAAAUACCGGGCUCGAGGGCGUGAGGGGUCACUGGAACUCCUGGUGAAGCGGUGAAAUGCGUAGAUAUCAGGAGGAACGCCGGAGGCGAAAGCGACACCCUGGCAUUAGCCUGACGCUCAUGUGCGAAGGCGUGGGGAGCGAACGGG